Long non-coding RNA from Chinchilla lanigera (long-tailed chinchilla), 2122 nucleotides. Ensembl annotates it as bone marrow stromal antigen 2-like. The record is from Ensembl. NCBI's taxonomy places the organism in Eukaryota, Metazoa, Chordata, Mammalia, Rodentia, Chinchillidae.
AUGCUAAUACAGGUGCGGCAUUCGCGGCGUGAGCCUUGGCGGAACCCUCUGCCCCGUCCCGCCGCCCUUAUGCCUUCCUCUCUGUGCCCCUACUCGAGGGUGCCCAUGGACGAGGUGGGUGUGGACAAGGGCCGCCGCGGCGUCGGGCUGCGGCCCCUGGCAGGGUUCCUGUUGGGGAUGCUGGCCAUGGCCGUGCCCCUGGGCUACUUUGCCGUGAAGGCCAACAGCGAAGCAUGCCACCUUGGUCUCCAAGCAGAGGAAAGGUUCCACAAUGUCACCCAGCACCUGCGGGACCAGCUGACCCGAGCCCAGGAGGCCCUGCAGGACGCCUACGCCACCUGCAAAAGCACCGUGGAAAACCUGAAUGCGUCCCUGAGCGAGGCGAAAACUCAGGAGCAGAAGCAACGCGAGCAAGUGCAGGCCCAGAAGGGUGAGGAGGGCACCCGCAGGGGCGCGCCGCGGCGCUGGUGGGGUCCGGAAGCUGCCGGCCGCCCGGGGGCGUGGCCGUGUCGGGUAGGGCGACGGCGCUCUGUGUCCCCAGAUGAGAUCGCGGAUUUGAAGCAGAAGCUGCAGGAGACUCGGCAGACGGUGCAGCAGCUCAGGUCAGCCCCGCCCCUCGCCCCGCCCCUUCCCGGGACCCGGGACCCCCGCCGGAACAUCCACGCUGCCCCCGGUACACCCGAGUCCCAGGGCGGGCAGGAGGCCGGCCUGGCCCGCAGCUGCCUGAUUGUCCCCGUCUUCGCUCCAGGAAUGAGAUCUCCGCCACCCGCCAAAGGAGUCCCAAAAGCGCGGCCGUCUCCGUCGGCGCGGUGCCCGCGGCGCUUCUGCUCCCGGUCCUCGCUGCGCUGCGGCCCUGACGUCCCCGGAGCCCGCCGGUGGCAGCCUGCGCUGAUCUGGUUCCAGGUCCUUUCGGCUUUCCUGUCCGCUGACCCAAGGUUGCUCGGGACAACCCCACAGCGCGGUUGGGGGUUGCAGGGUGGGCAUCAUGGAGGGGACGCGGGCUGCACCGGGGUGGAAAGCCCCUCUUGGGGGUGGGAUGGGGCCCCUGCCUCCGCAUCUCACUGUCACGGUUGAGGUCCCUUUUCUUCUGGAGUCUUUCUAUUCUGAAACAAUAAACAGUUUCGAGAAAAAAGAACUGGCUCCCAGGUUCCAGGAGUGUGGCUGUCACCCAGGGUUGGGGCGGCCCCUGUGGGUGAGGCUGGGAAACCCGCUGCACCCACACUCUGACGUCCUGCGACCCGCUGGGGCUCCCAGCCACCACGCCGCCGGAAGCAGCCUCCGCACCUGGCAGGGCCUGCGGGCCCGCAGCCCCCUCCUUGGUCCUAGUGGGGAAACCGAGGCUGGGGAGGGUAACUGUCCUGCUUUUCCCUGCCUCCUGCAGAAAGUGCUGGGUUUGGGUUUAAACCGCCAUGCGCAGGCGCAUUUAGGCCAAGCCUCCGUCAGAAUGUUCUCGUUUCUAUCCCCCAAGCUCUUAUUUGUCCUGCAGCACCCCACUCAGUUUUUGUUUUUUGGGUUUUUGUUUUGUUUUGUUUUUCUUCCGGUACCAGGAAUCGAACUCACAACCUUGAGCUUGCCAGGCAGGCGCUUUGCCGCUGAGCCAAAUCCCCAGCCCCACUCUGGGCCUCCCCCUCCAGAAAAGUUCUUCAAAAGUGACAGCUGCAUUGCCCGCAGACACUUCAGCCGCCUCUGGCUUCCUCCCGGCUGCACGGUCUCUUCCUGCCUGUUAUCUUUCUUCCUCCAAGUUGCCCUGGAAUCUGUGUGACUUCCCGUCUAUGGCCGUAGGGCCUGGAGCGGAGUCUUGGGUCCCAGAUUUCUGCCGUGCCCAGACCUCAUGGUCAGUGGAAGACAGGGGCCUGUUGCCCCGUUCUCCAGGGACACUGCACCCACCCCUGCCGCCAGCCGGCCCAGACCUCUCUGAGCGCUGGGCCUGGGCCCUCGCUCUGCCCGGCUGGGGAUGUUUGGGAGGGUACGUGGGCAGUACCGUCCCGGGUGGGCCAGAUGGUCGCAGCCUCUCGGUCACCGCCACUCGGAGUCGGUGCAGAGGGCCUGUUCCCUGGAGCUGCCACCUGGGGUUUGCAGGGGAGGCAAGGCUGCUGGGAGCGACCCGGAGGGGACCGGCGAC